GUAACCUUACCAGGUCUUGACAUCCCGAUGCUAUUUCUAGAGAUAGAAAGUUACUUCGGUACAUCGGUGACAGGUGGUGCAUGGUUGUCGUCAGCUCGUGUCGUGAGAUGUUGGGUUAAGUCCCGCAACGAGCGCAACCCCUAUUGUUAGUUGCCAUCAUUCAGUUGGGCACUCUAGCGAGACUGCCGGUAAUAAACCGGAGGAAGGUGGGGAUGACGUCAAAUCAUCAUGCCCCUUAUGACCUGGGCUACACACGUGCUACAAUGGUUGGUACAACGAGUUGCGAGUCGGUGACGGCGAGCUAAUCUCUUAAAGCCAAUCUCAGUUCGGAUUGUAGGCUGCAACUCGCCUACAUGAAGUCGGAAUCGCUAGUAAUCGCGGAUCAGCACGCCGCGGUGAAUACGUUCCCGGGCCUU
Molecule: ribosomal RNA, 416 nt
Filed under: uncultured Streptococcus sp.
Lineage: Bacteria; Bacillati; Bacillota; Bacilli; Lactobacillales; Streptococcaceae
Description: bacterial SSU rRNA
Rfam family: Bacterial small subunit ribosomal RNA
Source: RNAcentral